Long non-coding RNA from Puntigrus tetrazona (Sumatra barb), 466 nucleotides. RefSeq lists it as uncharacterized. The record is from RefSeq and is a predicted model, not a curated record. The transcript is spliced from 3 exons. NCBI's taxonomy places the organism in Eukaryota, Metazoa, Chordata, Actinopteri, Cypriniformes, Cyprinidae.
AGGGGGACAAAACCUGCAGAUAAGGAUGAUCCAAAAACAGGGAAAGGGAGGCCCUCUGCUUGACAGACAGCUGUGCUACUAUGAAGAUCAGCUGGAUAAUGACCAAAGUCUAGAGGCCAUCUCUUUGAUGAAUCAUACAAGUGAAAGUGAGGUCAUCAUGCAGAAGAUGAGGGCAACGCUUGAAUACAGACAGCGCCUUGUCCAUGAUCCAGAGAGGUCCACCACUGUUCUUUCAGUUUUUCCUUGAUUUCUGGAUACUAAAGGAUUGAUUCUUCAAGACUUCACGCUCCUCUUUGGGUCUGAAACUGCUUCCAGACUUUUGGAAAGGUGGCCAACAGCUUUCAAAGCAAUCAUCUUCCAAUCUGAACAGAGAAGGCAGUGAAGCCCAGGAUUCUCCAGAAUGGGACAGUGACAUAUCUUCCUUCCUUCCUUCCUUCUACUCCUGCAUCUUUUAUGACCCCAGGCU